UGAGCUUUACUCAUUUCUGCUUACUUUGUUGACCUUACUUUAAGAAACUUAGUAAAGAACACUUUUUGGUGAGUAAAGUUAUUAAACUUAUUAUCUCAAGUAAGCUUUACUUUAAAAAAAUGAGUGAGGCGGACUCGGAAGAAACUCGGGUGCACUCGGCAGCACUCGGCAGCACUCGGCUCGAAUACGCAUGCGCAGUCGACCACUGAAGACGUUCUUUGCUCGAGACGGAUUGGCGGCAGCGAGAAGGCAGUGCAGGUGUGCGAGUUACUUUCAGGCUUUGAAAAACCUGGCAAUGAAUUAUUCUGGCUGAGUUCUGUCGCUUAUCAAGCAAAAAUCUGAGUUGCAAUCAGAGUUCUUCAAAGAUCUCGACAAAUAUACUCCUCGCUUCCUGGAGAAGUUCAAAACCCAGAGGGGGAAAGUGUCGGACAGAAACUUGAAUAUCUGCAACAAGUCACACCUGGGAGUACAGAUGUGACUGGGAGGUGAACAGCAGUCCUCCGUAGCUCUCCCUUCAUCCUUGGAGAUGACAACGCAGACUUCUUCAAGAAUUUGAGGUUCAGGAGCAGCCAAUAUGAUGCAGGUGUGACGGCUGAAGAUGGUGUGAGUUUAGGAUGGCAUGAAGCUUCGACUUGACCCUAUGGAAACACAGCAGAUGCCACCAAAGGGUCCUGAUCGGGGACUCUGAUGACCUUCUGGACGUGUCCCACGCCUCCAUUGGGACCCUGACAGUGCUGAAGACAUCGUGGCCUCCUCACUCGCUGAACCUGGAGUCUACAGCUACUGCCAUCGUUUUGGGAGGAACAGUCGUGAUGGGUGACCGUGAUAAUCUUCCCCGUGCCGUGUGGCUACUCUUCGGACUUAUUUACCCCUGAAUUCGGAGUAUCCUCAACGAGUGAGGAAGACCUUCUGAAUUUAUUCAUAGAGUGCUUCUCACUUGGACCAAAAACCCUAAAAUACAAUCACUCAAAAAUCUACUGAUGCCAUAAGGGACUGUGUUCAUGAUGUGCAGUCAGGCCCGAGAACUUCACCCUUCUAUCUCCAAUUGAACUCUUUUCUAGAAAAUGUCUGUUUUUGUUGUUUUUCUGUCGUGAAAUUUAGCAAAUGCCGAAAACGCUGUGUUCAUCAUAUUUCUGCGUUACAAAACCUAAUCUGGCAACAUGUUCAGCGUUUUAAGCACGUUGUUUGAGUUUUAAAACAUGUGUUUUUCUUCUAAAUAAACGUUGUCUUCCAUUGUAA
Pseudoliparis swirei is the source of this 1239-nucleotide long non-coding RNA. RefSeq lists it as uncharacterized. The transcript is spliced from 7 exons. The record is from RefSeq and is a predicted model, not a curated record. Lineage: Eukaryota; Metazoa; Chordata; Actinopteri; Perciformes; Liparidae.